Molecule: long non-coding RNA, 269 nt
Filed under: Prunus persica (peach)
Lineage: Eukaryota; Viridiplantae; Streptophyta; Magnoliopsida; Rosales; Rosaceae
Description: long non-coding RNA (PPER_LNC006193)
Source: RNAcentral
CUCAAUCCGAUAUCGAUUGGUCCAAGAAAUUAUACUAUUCAUGUUUGUACGAAGUUCGUUCUAAAAUGGAGUGGUUGGUGGGUUGGUGUAUUGCAUAGUUCUAGAGAUUGGAUUUCCUCAAAACUCACCAAAUGAUUCCUCCCACAACAUUAUGACGUUCCCCAAGUUUUGGUAUCAAUCCGACAUCGCUUGGUCCAUAAAAUUGGACAAUUCAGGUCCGUACGAAGUUCGUUCUUAAAUGGAGUGGUUGAUGUAUUGUACAGUUUUAG